This 374-nucleotide unclassified non-coding RNA is filed under the name fungal sp. RNAcentral's name for it is "partial internal transcribed spacer region". The stretch from base 1 to 46 matches the Rfam family "Eukaryotic small subunit ribosomal RNA", at positions 1786 to 1831 of the family's 1831-position model. The record is from RNAcentral. Lineage: Eukaryota; Fungi.
AAGUCGUAACAAGGUAACCGUAGGUGAACCUGCGGUUGGAUCAUUACAAAAAACAGUUUGGUUGUUUUCGAUUUUGUGUGUCGUUAAAAAACACACAAGAGAAAGAACAAUCAAAACCAACCCCCCCGUGAACGUAAAUAUGUACUUUUGGCAGCCCUCCAAAAAAAACCUUUUUUUUUAUUAAGAAAGGCUUGGGCUGCCAAACACUCGCUCAAAAGAAAACUUGUUUUUUUUUUUGACGGGUAAAUUUGACCACACCAAUGUUAUUUUUAUAUAUCUUAAUCGUCUCCUUUUUUUUUUGUUUCAGAAAUGAAAGAAGAAAAAAAAACAAAUAUAAUAAACAACAACUUUUGACAACGGAUCUCUUGGCUCUC